CUAGCGUAGAGCAACAUGGGGAUUUGGGUGGCUGUAUAUGUGGGCAUUUUGGAGGAAGGGAAGGCAGGAUUUUGUUGCAUAUCGCACGGGCACAGAUCUGGGCGUCCGUGCAGGGUCGGCAGGCGACAUGAAUCACACGGCGGCGGCGGAGUUGGUCAGCGGCAGCGGAGUUGGGCAGUGACGGCGAAGUUGGGUGGCGGCAGCUGCAGAUUUGGGCCACAACCAUGGAUAGGUUGACGGAGGAGAUAUUGAUUCAGCUUCUAGGAUGAACAGUGGCACAAUAUGGGAAGUUGCUGCUUCUGUCGGACGGGAGUCUUGCGAUGCAAGGGGAGUCGGGCGACGGAAGGGUAGUUGGGCGGCGGCGGCGGCAUGAAUGAGGCACCGCACAAACUCGAGCGAAGGAAG
This 405-nucleotide long non-coding RNA is filed under the name Sorghum bicolor (sorghum). RNAcentral describes it as "long non-coding RNA (SBIC_LNC015695)". Lineage: Eukaryota; Viridiplantae; Streptophyta; Magnoliopsida; Poales; Poaceae. The record is from RNAcentral.